GAUGAACGCUGGCGGCGUGCCUAAUACAUACAAGUCGAGCGAACAGACGAGGAGCUUGCUCCUCUGACGUUAGCGGCGGACGGGUGAGUAACACGUGGAUAACCUACCUAUAAGACUGGGAUAACUUCGGGAAACCGGAGCUAAUACCGGAUAAUAUAUUGAACCGCAUGGUUCAAUAGUGAAAGACGGUUUUGCUGUCACUUAUAGAUGGAUCCGCGCCGCAUUAGCUAGUUGGUAAGGUAACGGCUUACCAAGGCAACGAUGCGUAGCCGACCUGAGAGGGUGAUCGGCCACACUGGAACUGAGACACGGUCCAGACUCCUACGGGAGGCAGCAGUAGGGAAUCUUCCGCAAUGGGCGAAAGCCUGACGGAGCAACGCCGCGUGAGUGAUGAAGGUCUUCGGAUCGUAAAACUCCGUUAUUAGGGAAGAACAAAUGUGUAAGUAACUAUGCACGUCUUGACGGUACCUAAUCAGAAAGCCACGGCUAACUACGUG
RNAcentral lists this ribosomal RNA (497 nucleotides) under uncultured bacterium. Its description in RNAcentral is "partial 16S ribosomal RNA". It matches the Rfam family "Bacterial small subunit ribosomal RNA", at positions 28 to 507 of the family's 1533-position model. The record is from RNAcentral.